CAAUAGCGUAUAUUAAAGUUGUUGCAGUUAAAAGCUCGUAGUUGAACUUUGGGCCUGGCAGGCCGGUCCGCUUUUUGGCGAGUACUGACCCUGCCGGGCCUUUCCUUCUGGCUACCCUCCCCUCUGGAGAGGCGACCAGGACUUUUACUUUGAAAAAUUAGAGUGUUCAAAGCAGGCCUUUGCUCGAAUAUAUUAGCAUGGAAUAAUAGAAUAGGACGUUUGGUUCUAUUUUGUUGGUUUCUAGGACCAUCGUAAUGAUUAAUAGGGACGGUCGGGGCAUCAGUAUUCAGUUGUCAGAGGUGAAAUUCUUGGAUUUACUGAAGACUAACUACUGCGAAAGCAUUUGCCAAGGACGUUUUCAUUAAUCAAGAACGAAAGUUAGGGGAUCGAAGAACGAUCA
RNAcentral lists this ribosomal RNA (400 nucleotides) under uncultured eukaryote. Its description in RNAcentral is "SSU rRNA". It matches the Rfam family "Eukaryotic small subunit ribosomal RNA", at positions 592 to 1010 of the family's 1831-position model. The record is from RNAcentral.